ACAGAGGGCUCAAGCGUUAAUCGGAAUCACUGGGCUUAAAGGGUCCGCAGGCGGAUUGGAAAGUAUCUUGUGAAAUACCACGGCUCAACCGUGGAACUGCUCGGUAAACUUCCAAUCUUGAACACGGUAGGGGCCAUCGGAACUCUAGGUGGGCGAGCGGAUGAACGUAGAUAUCUAGAGGAACGCCAGAGGCGAAGGCGGAUGGCUGGGCCGUUGUUGACGCUCAGGGACGAAAGCAUGGGUAGCGAACGGGAUUAGAUACCCGUGUAGUCC
Molecule: ribosomal RNA, 273 nt
Filed under: uncultured bacterium
Lineage: Bacteria
Description: partial 16S ribosomal RNA
Rfam family: Bacterial small subunit ribosomal RNA
Source: RNAcentral